UUCAACUCCACCGGCGGGGCUCCAGGAAGGUGCUUUGGGGCGGAGGAAGAAGGACGGACCUUCCCCGGGCUCGGGGCACCGCAAGCCAGCUCCAUCACCUGGAAUCCCCUCUCCGCUCCCCCGGCCCAGCAAAGCUUAUGGCUGCAGACUCAGGACAGAGAAGAACCUUUGGCCCGUCCGUGCCAUUUACAAACGGCGCAAGCUGGACUGGAGUCGCUGCGGCUGGAUUUGGAAAAGGCUGAAUAUCGGUUCGUUACCAGCAGUGGGCUUGAAGUUAGGGUUUCUCAGAUGCAGCAGCGUCGGAGUCCGUGGGUGCUUUUAGUUACGCAGGUUGUGGUGGGAUAAACGUGAGAGAGGAGUCACCCGGGAAGUCAGACGGGGGAAUUACUCUUUGGCACUCCCUCCGCGUCAGAUAGAGCAACUCCUCUGUCAGGCGCAGGACGGGAAAGGCUCCUUGUACGGAGCACUUGGGGUGUCAGGCCAGGCUGCUCAAGCAGGGGCUGGUGUACUGCGCUGCUCACUGCCUCCCAGCUCCUCCUCGGCAGCUCCCGGAGAUCGAGGACAGGGCGAGCAGUACGUGGUGCAGAUCGGCUCUCAGAUGUGCACCCAUUGAGCUUAUGGCACCGGCGAGCCCUCCGCCCCAGGAGAGCCGUUGCUCGGGCAGGAACGCUGCCACCGGGGACAACCGCGUGCUGCCGGAGCCGUGCUGAAACGCAGGUGAGCAGGGCAGGGGGGAGUGCAGGAAGGACAAUCCUGGUCAGAUGCUCCUAGAAGCUUGCGCGGCACGUUUCAGACCCCUUGGCACCAGCGCUAUCCUCUCUGACCCCUUCCCUCUGCUCUCGCCGUGGCCUCCCGGCUGGCAGGCGGGCCAGUCCGUCUGUCCAAGGAAACUUCUGGAAAGCGAACAGCAUCCGUGCCCUAGCAGAGCCGCGCACACCCACUUCCGCUGCACUCAAGGACUUCCUCAGGGCACGCAGUAAGCAGCCUCCCCCUCCCGCUGAUGGAAAGGGUUAAAAGCCACUGACUUUCUUUCCCGGGUCUCCCUGCUUUAAUAGAGAAUCUCCAGCCCCAGUUCUUCCCUGGCCAGGCUGCAGCAACGCAGCUCCCCACUGCUCCCCACCUGCACAGAAUGAAACGCAGGCUGAUCAAUUCUGUCCAUCAUGGUGACAGAAAGGUAAUUUCCUGCCCUUAUCACUCCGUGCUGUCUCAGGCCGGGCACGGGUUUGUUUCCCCUCCAACCAAAUGGUUAUAAAUUGACGCUGUUCGUGGGCUAGUACUUCACCCUGCCUCAGCUCAGGUAUGAAAGAGGCAUAAGGCAUCAGAAAAACAAAACCGAAAAAGCCUAUUUCUCUCCUACUUCCCAUAAAUAAAUAUCACAAGUGGAAAGUCA
Harpia harpyja (harpy eagle) is the source of this 1390-nucleotide long non-coding RNA. RefSeq lists it as uncharacterized. NCBI's taxonomy places the organism in Eukaryota, Metazoa, Chordata, Aves, Accipitriformes, Accipitridae. The transcript is spliced from 2 exons. The record is from RefSeq and is a predicted model, not a curated record.